GCCUACGGGGCGCAGCAGUGAGGAAUAUUAGUCAAUGGUCGGGAGACUGGACCAGCCAAGCCGCGUGAGGGAUGAAGGUACAGAGUAUCGUAAACCUCUUUUGUCAGGGAACAAAGGCGGGGACGUGUCCCCGGAUGAGUGUACCUGAAGAAAAAGCAUCGGCUAACCCCGUGCCAGCAGCCGCGGUAAUACGGAGGAUGCGAGCGUUAUCCGGAUUUAUUGGGUUUAAAGGGUGCGCAGGCGGUCUGUUAAGGCAGCGGUCAAAGCCCGGGGCUCAACCCCGGCCCGCCGUUGAAACUGGCAGG
RNAcentral lists this ribosomal RNA (305 nucleotides) under uncultured bacterium. RNAcentral describes it as "bacterial SSU rRNA". It matches the Rfam family "Bacterial small subunit ribosomal RNA", at positions 337 to 640 of the family's 1533-position model. The record is from RNAcentral.